AGAGCUGUAGCGCGGUGUGUAGUUGAUGAAGACAAAGCCGCGCGCCUGGUCGAUGGCGUGAAACAGCGGAUUCCAGUCGAACAAGGCCAGCAUGAACGCGGGAAGCGUGUUGGCCACGAACAUCUUGCCCGAGGCGAUCAUGUUCGCGCGCUG
Molecule: non-coding RNA, 153 nt
Filed under: Rhodobacteraceae bacterium EhC02
Lineage: Bacteria; Pseudomonadati; Pseudomonadota; Alphaproteobacteria; Rhodobacterales; Paracoccaceae
Description: Ruegeria cis2 sRNA
Rfam family: Ruegeria cis2 sRNA
About the family: Cis-encoded. Targets ABC transporter.
Source: Rfam by way of RNAcentral